CAGGGACACGAGUAACAACAGGAUUCCACAUGUGAAUAAGGAUUGGAACGUGAAUGUCGACGCGAGCUCAAUACACUAUGAUCUGACCAUCUACAACAUCCAACCGUGUUUGACCCUUCCAGGUUCAAUGCUGGCCCAUCAGAUCCCAAGCAAUUCCCCUUCAUUUUAGCCGGGAACAAGGUUCAUGUAGACACUGGAAGCAGACGAGUGGAAAAAAUGAAAGAGAAAAGAGAAUAGGCAAUUAUGACAGAAGCACGGACAUCUUGAAUCAAUGCAUAAGGCAGGUUGUAUCACUUUUCUUGAUCUGGUUGAUGGUUAGUAUUCUCUUGUUAGAAGUCGCAUCUUUGAUGUCGGGGCCUGGGAU
Long non-coding RNA from Lolium rigidum, 364 nucleotides. RefSeq lists it as uncharacterized. NCBI's taxonomy places the organism in Eukaryota, Viridiplantae, Streptophyta, Magnoliopsida, Poales, Poaceae. The record is from RefSeq and is a predicted model, not a curated record. The transcript is spliced from 3 exons.